This is an RNA transcript of Ostrinia nubilalis (European corn borer), 2841 nucleotides long. It is a transcript of the gene named zinc finger protein 431-like, with no coding region annotated. The record is from RefSeq and is a predicted model, not a curated record. NCBI's taxonomy places the organism in Eukaryota, Metazoa, Arthropoda, Insecta, Lepidoptera, Crambidae. The transcript is spliced from 10 exons.
UGGAUUUUUGUUUUUGCUUUUUCAAAGUGAAUUUAUAUUGUAUGGACGAAUAAAAUAAUUAUUAUUAGGGCUGUAAAAACACGCAUUUAUAAUGACAUCACUGUUAUUAAUCAAGUCCAUGCUAUUAGCAAAUGCAUUAAAAAAAUCUCACAAAAAGAAGAAAAGGAAAGUCAAGAAAUCACAUUGUAUCAAAAAAAUUGUUAAUCCAUGCAGAAUAUGCAGUGAAGAGAGCGGAGAAAUACCUAUAUUCAACAAUAUCAUUCAUCCAAACAUUCCUGAAGAUAUUAAAAACUUUUCAGGAAUUGCAUUAUACAAAAUGGAAAAUUAUUCAAAUCAUAUGUGCCAAAGUUGUCUAGACUUGCUCAAUGGCUGCAUUAUGUUCAGGGAACUGUGUCAGAGAAGUAACGCUAAAAUCACAGAACUCUAUGAAAAGAAAGAAUAUGGUAGAUAUGAAAGAGACAAGACUAUAAAUGGUGACAGUGAAGACUCCUACCAUGCCUCCACACCAACUUAUUCUGAAGACAAUUCAGAAGUAUGGGGUUGUUCCACAUGUAAUAAAGAGUUUGAUAAUAUGGCUGCAUAUAACAAGCAUGCAUCCAAAUGCUCUCUGCAAACUCAGUCACAAGUACCAAAGCCAUCAGGGGAGGUGACAAAAAAGAAGUUUCUAUGUGACACCUGUGGAAAAACUGCCUGUUCUAAUGCAAGUCUUUUGGUUCAUAUGGCCACUCACGAAAACGUGUUUCCCUUCAAAUGCGAGGAAUGCCCGUAUCAAGGCCGUACGAUGGACUUGCUGAAGGUUCACAAGAGGUCGCAUAUGGCCGAUAAGCCGUUCAAGUGCACGCAGUGUCCCAAAGCGACGACGACUUCUAGCAACCUCGCGAAACACAUGAGACACGUGCACAGCACUACGAGACCGUUUAAGUGUACUUAUUGCGAGAAGGCAUUUUCAUAUCAACACGACAUGAAGAGGCAUAUAAAAGAUAUCCACUUACGACAGGGAACAGUGGAGUGCGAUGUUUGUUUUAAGAAGUUUAAUACAAAAAAGAUAUUACAAGGACAUCGAUGGAAAAUCCAUAAAAUCAAAGGCGAAAGACAAGGGCGGCUGCCAUCGUACUUGCAGUGCCAAAUAGAAGUUCAUCCCAACGAGAACAACUUAAAUGACUGUGAACAAAUAUACUCAAGUAUGGAAACUGCUUAGCGAGUGAUUGGUUAAUACACAGAUGAACUACUUCUUACAUUACAACCCGAUCGAGUUAACUGCGCACCUGGCAGCCGUGACGUCACAUCGACGCUACGCACGUCCGUAAGUGCGAGGAAGAGUCGCACUCGCAUUUCAGCGCGGUGUGCAGUUAGUUCGAUCGGGUUGUGGAAGGUGCACUAUAAGCGUAAUGCUGUAUGUAUAUUAUAUGCCGCCCCUAGGCAUAAACAGUUCAAGGUUGUAUUGCUUUUGAUCUUCCCCGCGAUUGCUGCGGCCAUGAUUUGAAAAUAAACGAAGACAGGUUUAACGUGACUGAUACCUUUCAUAUUGGUGAUGUGUAUCCAACUGAUGCCCAUUACGAUGUGUAUGGGAAUCUAUUUUACGUGGAGUCUGGGCGAAACGACGAGGGAUUCUUUUUUAACAUCAACAUUAUCAGAUUUAAGAGUAAAUCAUCACAGAAAAUUAAAGGUUUACCAAAAGGGCUCAGCUACUCCAUUGCCGUGGACAAGAAAAACACCAAAGUGUACUUCGGAACUGGUAAAGGGAUUUACACCUACAGUUACGAAACCCACAGCGCAUCGCCCAUCACCAGCAGUGCUGUAAAACUGGACAUGAUAUUUGUUGAUAAAGACAGCAACAAAUACAUAACCGAACAUAAUAAUGGCCUCGAGGAAUUAUAUCGUCUUGACGGAGACAAGAAAACUCGACUACGUACCCCUGAAACGUUAAAUGAGCUUGCUAUUGAUGACAAGAACAACUUCUACUACAUAGCACAAGAAAGCCUCUGCGUAUUGAAAGUUAACGAAACGAGACCAGACUGCAUCAGCAGAGUGAAUUAUGACGGCAUCGCACAAAUAUCUGUACAUAAUGACCAUGUAUUCAUUGCCAGUAAGAAUCUUACUUAUUUCAACAUCAAUGUAAAAGAUCUCCGUAAUGCCGAUAACCUUCCAGGACAAGUGACGGCAAUAGCCUUUGAUAAUAAAGGAAAUUUUGUGCUUGGAAUCCGAGGGAAACUGUUAAAAUACGAAAAAAAUGAUGAAUGUAACAUCAGGGAAGACAAUGGAAAUAAGUCAUCUGAAACAGCUCAAGCGUAUCCUUAUUAACUAGAGGAAUUAAUGAUCAAGAUUAUCUAUUAUUAAACAAAUAUUGGAACAUCCUCUUUAUUAUUAAAAAUAAGUUAGUUUCUUAAAAGCCAAAUUCAAAUCACUACGCUAAUAAUGUGCCUAUUACCUUAGUACAUCUAAGUCUUAGAUAACACUAUAUUUUUGGGGAUCAAUAUUUUUCCAAUUUUAGAUAACCGGAUUUUUAGUUAUUAUUAUUAGUAAACAAUUGAAUUUAAAAACAUUGAAAUGUAUAAUUUUAAUAUUUAUUUGAUAAAGUUAUUUUUAACAACUUUUAAUGUUUUUCUAAUCAAGAAUAUAACUUACAGUAACACCAAAAAUUCUACUGUUACUUAAAUCUUAAAUACUAAAAUAUUUAUCCAACUUUCGCACUUGCGGCUCUCAACCUUUUCUUUUCUGAAGCAAAAAUACUAUAAUAAACUUUAGGGAAACUUUUUUUUUGGAAAUCAAAUAAAUAUUUAAAUCAAGUCCAUGUGUAAAUUUCGAUCUUGAUCUCUUCUGUACAAUUUCGGUAAUCUAUGG